Non-coding RNA from Pimephales promelas (fathead minnow), 515 nucleotides. NCBI's taxonomy places the organism in Eukaryota, Metazoa, Chordata, Actinopteri, Cypriniformes, Leuciscidae. The record is from RefSeq and is a predicted model, not a curated record.
CGCGACACCUUUUGAGUCAUCUGAGGAGGUCCCCACAAUCAAACUGCUCUCAACACUUAUUCGACAUUGAGAUGCAGAAACUGCAGGAUGUUCAGCAGACAAGGCACCAACAAGUCCCCUUCAACAUCCACAUCAUGGUGCUUGCGCAAAUCUGUAGCCCAAGAUGAGUGGCGGAAUGCAAGGUCUUAUCAUAUCAACUGCUUGCUGUCCUGCAAUGUGGCUCCAGAAAAGAACUGCAGCCACUGCUAUGUAAAAAAAGAUGGCAAAUAUACACUGGUCAAUCAAGUAUGUUUAUUACCUACAGUGAGACCUGUCCAGUUAUGCACUUGCGACCCUUCAAACUUCACAGAAUCAGCUGGCAGAGCAAUCAUUUUGGUUUGCAUAAAUGUUGCACUUGCCAAACUUGCUGUGUAGAUUAUGUCUGGCUCAUUGGACACCUGACAUGAGCGACCUAAGAAGAAGUGGGUACUGGCCAGCAUCUGUGAAUGCUGACACGCUGUUUUCAGUCGACAUCU